RNAcentral lists this ribosomal RNA (223 nucleotides) under uncultured bacterium. RNAcentral's name for it is "partial 16S ribosomal RNA". It matches the Rfam family "Bacterial small subunit ribosomal RNA", at positions 326 to 539 of the family's 1533-position model. The record is from RNAcentral.
ACGCUCGACACCUACGGUAGGCAGCAGUAGGGAAUCUUCCACAAUGGACGCAAGUCUGAUGGAGCAACGCCGCGUGAGUGAAGAAGGUCUUCGGAUCGUAAAACUCUGUUGUUAGAGAAGAACACGAGUGAGAGUAACUGUUCAUUCGAUGACGGUAUCUAACCAGCAAGUCACGGCUAACUACGUGCCAGCAGCCGCGGUAAUCUGAGCGGGCUGGCAAGGC